This 682-nucleotide ribosomal RNA is filed under the name uncultured Bacilli bacterium. RNAcentral's name for it is "bacterial SSU rRNA". It matches the Rfam family "Bacterial small subunit ribosomal RNA", at positions 71 to 738 of the family's 1533-position model. The record is from RNAcentral. Lineage: Bacteria; Bacillati; Bacillota; Bacilli.
AAAGAUAGCUUGCUAUUUUUAUGAAGAGCGGCGAACGGGUGAGUAACGCGUGGGAAAUCUGCCGAGUAGCGGGGGACAACGUUUGGAAACGAACGCUAAUACCGCAUAACAAUGAGAAUCGCAUGAUUCUUAUUUGAAAGAAGCAAUUGCUUCACUACUUGAUGAUCCCGCGUUGUAUUAGCUAGUUGGUAGUGUAAAGGACUACCAAGGCGAUGAUACAUAGCCGACCUGAGAGGGUGAUCGGCCACACUGGGACUGAGACACGGCCCAGACUCCUACGGGAGGCAGCAGUAGGGAAUCUUCGGCAAUGGGGGCAACCCUGACCGAGCAACGCCGCGUGAGUGAAGAAGGUUUUCGGAUCGUAAAACUCUGUUGUUAGAGAAGAACGUUAAGUAGAGUGGAAAAUUACUUAAGUGACGGUAUCUAACCAGAAAGGGACGGCUAACUACGUGCCAGCAGCCGCGGUAAUACGUAGGUCCCAAGCGUUGUCCGGAUUUAUUGGGCGUAAAGCGAGCGCAGGUGGUUUCUUAAGUCUGAUGUAAAAGGCAGUGGCUCAACCAUUGUGUGCAUUGGAAACUGGGAGACUUGAGUGCAGGAGAGGAGAGUGGAAUUCCAUGUGUAGCGGUGAAAUGCGUAGAUAUAUGGAGGAACACCGGAGGCGAAAGCGGCUCUCUGGCCUGUA